Molecule: non-coding RNA, 1244 nt
Organism: Sturnus vulgaris (Common starling)
Lineage: Eukaryota; Metazoa; Chordata; Aves; Passeriformes; Sturnidae
Source: RefSeq, a predicted model, not a curated record
AGGAAUAGUUUCUUAUUAACAGCUGGCUAGUAAACACAGGUGGAUUAUACAUAAAACCAGAGUCUCUAAUUGUAGCUACAUUGCAAACACACAUAUUUGAAGUCGCUAAACACAGUCUGGUUGUAAGCUUCCAAUUUGUCUAGCAAGUCCCUUCCCAAUUACUGGGAGUUGGGGAACUAAGGAUUUUUCUUUUAACACUGGACAGUCUUUUUUUUCCAAUAUCUCCCCUUUCUACAGUGUGCACACUGGUCCUUCUCCGUAGGGGAAGUUUUUUGGGGUGACUUUUCCUGAGUUGCCUUCUUACUGGGCUGGGAUUUAACGGAUUUAACUCUUUCAGUUGAACCUCUAUCUCGAAACACUUUCCAGGCAACCUCUAGCAGCCUCUCCAUAUCUCGGACCCCCUCUCUCUUUUGCAGCUUCCUUCUUAUAUCAUUUGAAGCCUGACCCAUAAACAACAAAACCAGAUGUGCUUUACCAUCAGCUGAUUCAGGGUCUAGAUCAGUAUAUUUGAUGGCAGUUUCUCUUCACCUGUUCAAAAAAUCAGAUGGUGAUUCAUCAUCAUUUUGUCUUACUUCAGAAAGCUUUGACCAAUUUAUAGCUUUAGGUGCUCCAUGUUUUAACCCAUAUACCACAAGACUUUGAUAUCAUUUUAGCCUUGCCAUAUGUUCUGGUAUAUUUGGAUCCCACCCAGGAUUCUCAAGGGGAAAUAUCUGGGUGACAGUACCCUGAAGCAAUCCACUGGCUAUGCUCCCCUCCACUGAGGUUGUGAUGGCUUUAUUGACCAUUUGUCUCUCAGUGGGGUCGAGUAAUGUAUCCAACAUAGAGUUCAAAUUCGCCCAAUCAGGGUUUUGUGAGUUAAUAGCCUGUUAAUUUUGCCAUGGUAGUUUUCCACUGUUCUAACUCUAUAAGGGAGUAUGGAGCUUUCACGUAUAUUGGCCCCUGAUUACUGACUGCUUGUUGUAAGGGGGCUUGCAAAAUUGAUUCUCUUUCUUUCUCCCUUUUUGAUCUAGUGUGGUGGGCAAUUGGGCUACGUUCUCUGAGGGCUUUUCUUGCUAUCUUUCCCCUCCUCCACCUGUUUAAGACAGCAAUAAUCUCAUCCAUUUCAUCAUUCUUUUCUUCCUCCUCAGAGCCAUUUGUGCAAGAGCUGUCUGACCUUGUUGUAGCCAAGUGUCUACCUCGGCUAGUGCCAAUCCUAGAAAGCAUCAUGCAAGAUCCAUGGGAAGGGAGCCUGGCCUGAGCUGGGG